RNAcentral lists this ribosomal RNA (225 nucleotides) under Klebsiella pneumoniae. RNAcentral describes it as "partial 23S ribosomal RNA". It matches the Rfam family "Bacterial large subunit ribosomal RNA", at positions 2718 to 2925 of the family's 2925-position model. Lineage: Bacteria; Pseudomonadati; Pseudomonadota; Gammaproteobacteria; Enterobacterales; Enterobacteriaceae. RNAcentral also lists the same sequence under 2 other names. The record is from RNAcentral.
GGGUUGUCAUGCCAAUGGCACUGCCCGGUAGCUAAAUGCGGAAGAGAUAAGUGCUGAAAGCAUCUAAGCACGAAACUUGCCCCGAGAUGAGUUCUCCCUGAGACUAUAAGUCUCCUGAAGGAACGUUGAAGACGACGACGUUGAUAGGCCGGGUGUGUAAGCGCAGCGAUGCGUUGAGCUAACCGGUACUAAUGAACCGUGAGGCUUAACCUUACAACGCCGAAG